AGACGGGGGGUGCUAGCGUUGUUCGGAAUUACUGGGCGUAAAGGGCGCGUAGGCGGCUCUGCGAGUCGGGCGUGAAAUCCCGGGGCUCAACCCCGGAACGGCGCUCGAUACUGCGGGGCUGGAGACCGGAAGAGGAGGGUGGAAUUCCCAGUGUAGAGGUGAAAUUCGUAGAUAUUGGGAGGAACACUGGUGGCGAAAGCGGCUCUCUGGUCCGGUUCUGACGCUGAGGCGCGAAAGCGUGGGGAGCAAACAGGAUUAGAUACCCUAGUAGUCC
RNAcentral lists this ribosomal RNA (274 nucleotides) under uncultured bacterium. RNAcentral's name for it is "partial 16S ribosomal RNA". It matches the Rfam family "Bacterial small subunit ribosomal RNA", at positions 523 to 796 of the family's 1533-position model. The record is from RNAcentral.